Molecule: ribosomal RNA, 468 nt
Filed under: uncultured bacterium
Lineage: Bacteria
Description: partial 16S ribosomal RNA
Rfam family: Bacterial small subunit ribosomal RNA
Source: RNAcentral
GACGAACGCUGGCGGCGUGCUUAACACAUGCAAGUCGAACGGAAAGGCCCUGCUUUUGUGGGGUGCUCGAGUGGCGAACGGGUGAGUAACACGUGAGUAACCUGCCCUUGACUUUGGGAUAACUUCAGGAAACUGGGGCUAAUACCGGAUAGGAGCUCCUGCUACAUGGUGGGGGUUGGAAAGUUUCGGCGGUUGGGGAUGGACUCGCGGCUUAUCAGCUUGUUGGUGGGGUAGUGGCUUACCAAGGCUUUGACGGGUAGCCGGCCUGAGAGGUUGACCGGCCACAUUGGGACUGCGAUACGGCCCAGACUCCUACGGGAGGCAGCAGUGGGGAAUAUUGCACAAUGGGCGGAAGCCUGAUGCAGCAACGCCGCGUGCGGGAUGACGGCCUUCGGGUUGUACACCGCUUUCGCCUGUGACGAAGCGUGAGUGACGGUAAUGGGUAAAGAAGCACCGGCUAACUACGUG